RNAcentral lists this long non-coding RNA (1196 nucleotides) under Capra hircus (goat). RNAcentral's name for it is "lncRNA (ENSCHIG00010017915.1)". Lineage: Eukaryota; Metazoa; Chordata; Mammalia; Artiodactyla; Bovidae. The record is from RNAcentral.
UUCAUAACCAUUCUCUAAUUGCUAGGGAGCUAGUAGAACACUUAGCAACUUUAAAAAAGGGGGUGAGUUGUAAUAAAACACAUGGUAAAAAAAUGUAGAGGCUUCAACACAAAAAGUGCUGUUUCAUUUUCACACCCAGGUCAUAAGGGUGGGGACAGAAUGGAGAGGUGGGCUCACUCUCUGCAAUUAUGCGAAAACCUAGCUCUUUCAUCCUCUAAGACCUCAGUUUUCCACUGUAUUUUCUGGAUGCAGCCAAGUGGCAGUUAGAAAACGGAGUACAUAUUUCCAUCCAAUUAUAUUAGGUAGAAUUCACUCAUAUGGCCUUAGGCAACCACAUAGAAACCUGGAGAAUGUAGGCUAGCUGUGUACCAAGGAAGAAAAGGGUUUCAUAGAGCCAAGGCAUUUUCUCAGAGGUUGAAGAUUUAUAGCUUAAAUCAAAUAUGUAGGUCAUUUUUUUUUCUUACCUAAUCACACACAUUUUUCUUAUCCUCUUACAUGUGAAUAAAUGCUGUCCACUAUUCUUCCUUAAGAUUGAAAACAUUCCCACAGUUCUGUGUGUCUUUCAUGUUGCUAUCUUAUUGCAGACCCUUCCUCUUUCUCAUCAAGAUCGAUGAACCAUCCACAUAACUAAUGAUCUCCCUCUGAAUGUCUUCCAGUGUUCUUCACAUAGAUUCCACAUAGAUUCCCAGUGAUCUUUGAAAAAGCAUAUGUGAUCCUGUCACUUCCUGCUUAAAUCUUUAAAUAGGAACCUUUCUCUAUAACAAAAGUUUAAGCUGCUUAGCAGAGAUUGUAAUGACCUAAAUUCUUGGCAUGGUCUGACAGAAAGUCAUAGUUGUUAGUAUCAAGGCUAGCAUUAUGACUGCAGAAAAUUCCUCAUUCUGGUUAUGCCAUGUCCUAGGUGUUAAAACUUGGCAGGUUUUUCUGAAGCUAAAGUUUAUAUCCUUUUCUCUGAGGAAUGAUACGUUUAUGUGAAUCAACCAUAAUCUUGACCAGUCUUAACUUCAAACAAUGAUGCCUAUUUGAUAAAAUAUUAACUUUAGAUAAUAUUGUUGGAACAGAGGCUUUAAUAUUUGGAGCUAAAUAAUACAUGCUUGGAUACUGAAUGAAUCAGUAGUUUUAGGAGAUACUAUUCAUUCUAAACAUAAAAUGAAGUAUACUAGUUUUAUAAUAUAAAAUUAAUAUAGUUAAAAUGACUU